RNAcentral lists this ribosomal RNA (295 nucleotides) under uncultured bacterium. RNAcentral's name for it is "partial 16S ribosomal RNA". It matches the Rfam family "Bacterial small subunit ribosomal RNA", at positions 28 to 313 of the family's 1533-position model. The record is from RNAcentral.
GACGAACGCUGGCGGCGUGCUUAACACAUGCAAGUCGAGCGAGGUUCAACCGGUGGCAACACCGGGGAAGACCUAGCGGCGAACGGGUGAGUAACACGUGAGCAACCUGUCCCGGAGUCUGGGAUAACACCGGGAAACCGGUGCUAAGUACCGGAUACCCCCACCGGACCGCAUGGUCUGGUGAGGAAAGAUUUAUUGCGUUCGGGAGGGGCUCGCGGGCUAUCAGCUUGUUGGUGAGGUAACGGCUCACCAAGGCGACGACGGCUCGCUGGUCUGAGAGGACGACCAGCCACAC